CGGGACACGUGGUAUCCUGUCUGAAUAUGGGGGGACCAUCCUCCAAGGCUAAAUACUCCUGACUGACCGAUAGUGAACCAGUACCGUGAGGGAAAGGCGAAAAGAACCCCGGCGAGGGGAGUGAAAAAGAACCUGAAACCGUGUACGUACAAGCAGUGGGAGCCUCUUAAUGGGGUGACUGCGUACCUUUUGUAUAAUGGGUCAGCGACUUAUAUUCUGUAGCAAGGUUAACCGAAUAGGGGAGCCGAAGGGAAACCGAGUCUUAACUGGGCGUUAAGUUGCAGGGUAUAGACCCGAAACCCGGUGAUCUAGCCAUGGGCAGGUUGAAGGUUGGGUAACACUAACUGGAGGACCGAACCGACUAAUGUUGAAAAAUUAGCGGAUGACUUGUGGCUGGGGGUGAAAGGCCAAUCAAACCGGGAGAUAGCUGGUUCUCCCCGAAAGCUAUUUAGGUAGCGCCUCGUGAAUUCAUCUCCGGGGGUAGAGCACUGUUUCGGCAAGGGGGUCAUCCCGACUUACCAACCCGAUGCAAACUGCGAAUACCGGAGAAUGUUAUCACGGGAGACACACGGCGGGUGCUAACGUCCGUCGUGAAGAGGGAAACAACCCAGACCGCCAGCUAAGGUCCCAAAGUCAUGGUUAAGUGGGAAACGAUGUGGGAAGGCCCAGACAGCCAGGAUGUUGGCUUAGAAGCAGCCAUCAUUUAAAGAAAGCGUAAUAGCUCACUGGUCGAGUCGGCCUGCGCGGAAGAUGUAACGGGGCUAAACCAUGCACCGAAGCUGCGGCAGCGACGCUUAUGCGUUGUUGGGUAGGGGAGCGUUCUGUAAGCCUGUGAAGGUGUGCUGUGAGGCAUGCUGGAGGUAUCAGAAGUGCGAAUGCUGACAUAAGUAACGAUAAAGCGGGUGAAAAGCCCGCUCGCCGGAAGACCAAGGGUUCCUGUCCAACGUUAAUCGGGGCAGGGUGAGUCGACCCCUAAGGCGAGGCCGAAAGGCGUAGUCGAUGGGAAACAGGUUAAUAUUCCUGUACUUGGUGUUACUGCGAAGGGGGGACGGAGAAGGCUAUGUUGGCCGGGCGACGGUUGUCCCGGUUUAAGCGUGUAGGCUGGUUUUCCAGGCAAAUCCGGAAAACCAAGGCUGAGGCGUGAUGACGAGGCACUACGGUGCUGAAGCGACAAAUGCCCUGCUUCCAGGAAAAGCCUCUAAGCAUCAGGUAACAUCAAAUCGUACCCCAAACCGACACAGGUGGUCAGGUAGAGAAUACCAAGGCGCUUGAGAGAACUCGGGUGAAGGAACUAGGCAAAAUGGUGCCGUAACUUCGGGAGAAGGCACGCUGAUAUGUAGGUGAAGCGACUUGCUCGUGGAGCUGAAAUCAGUCGAAGAUACCAGCUGGCUGCAACUGUUUAUUAAAAACACAGCACUGUGCAAACACGAAAGUGGACGUAUACGGUGUGACGCCUGCCCGGUGCCGGAAGGUUAAUUGAUGGGGUUAGCGGCAACGCGAAGCUCUUGAUCGAAGCCCCGGUAAACGGCGGCCGUAACUAUAACGGUCCUAAGGUAGCGAAAUUCCUUGUCGGGUAAGUUCCGACCUGCACGAAUGGCGUAAUGAUGGCCAGGCUGUCUCCACCCGAGACUCAGUGAAAUUGAACUCGCUGUGAAGAUGCAGUGUACCCGCGGCAAGACGGAAAGACCCCGUGAACCUUUACUAUAGCUUGACACUGAACAUUGAGCCUUGAUGUGUAGGAUAGGUGGGAGGCUUUGAAGUGUGGACGCCAGUCUGCAUGGAGCCGACCUUGAAAUACCACCCUUUAAUGUUUGAUGUUCUAACGUUGGCCCCUAAUCGGGGUUGCGGACAGUGUCUGGUGGGUAGUUUGACUGGGGCGGUCUCCUCCUAAAGAGUAACGGAGGAGCACGAAGGUUGGCUAAUCCUGGUCGGACAUCAGGAGGUUAGUGCAAUGGCAUAAGCCAGCUUGACUGCGAGCGUGACGGCGCGAGCAGGUGCGAAAGCAGGUCAUAGUGAUCCGGUGGUUCUGAAUGGAAGGGCCAUCGCUCAACGGAUAAAAGGUACUCCGGGGAUAACAGGCUGAUACCGCCCAAGAGUUCAUAUCGACGGCGGUGUUUGGCACCUCGAUGUCGGCUCAUCACAUCCUGGGGCUGAAGUAGGUCCCAAGGGUAUGGCUGUUCGCCAUUUAAAGUGGUACGCGAGCUGGGUUUAGAACGUCGUGAGACAGUUCGGUCCCUAUCUGCCGUGGGCGCUGGAGAACUGAGGGGGGCUGCUCCUAGUACGAGAGGACCGGAGUGGACGCAUCACUGGUGUUCGGGUUGUCAUGCCAAUGGCACUGCCCGGUAGCUAAAUGCGGAAGAGAUAAGUGCUG
RNAcentral lists this ribosomal RNA (2371 nucleotides) under Escherichia coli. Its description in RNAcentral is "partial 23S ribosomal RNA". It matches the Rfam family "Bacterial large subunit ribosomal RNA", at positions 418 to 2773 of the family's 2925-position model. Lineage: Bacteria; Pseudomonadati; Pseudomonadota; Gammaproteobacteria; Enterobacterales; Enterobacteriaceae. The record is from RNAcentral.